GAUGAACGCUGGCGGCGUGCCUAAUACAUGCAAGUCGAGCGAACAGAUGAGGAGCUUGCUCCUCUGACGUUAGCGGCGGACGGGUGAGUAACACGUGGAUAACCUACCUAUAAGACUGGGAUAACUUCGGGAAACCGGAGCUAAUACCGGAUAAUAUAUUGAACCGCAUGGUUCAAUAGUGAAAGACGGUUUUGCUGUCACUUAUAGAUGGAUCCGCGCCGCAUUAGCUAGUUGGUAAGGUAACGGCUUACCAAGGCAACGAUGCGUAGCCGACCUGAGAGGGUGAUCGGCCACACUGGAACUGGGACACGGUCCAGACUCCUACGGGAGGCAGCAGUAGGGAAUCUUCCGCAAUGGGCGAAGGCCUGACGGAGCAACGCCGCGUGAGUGAUGAAGGUCUUCGGAUCGUAAAACUCUGUUAUUAGGGAAGAACAAAUGUGUAAGUAACUAUGCACGUCUUGACGGUACCUAAUCAGAAAGCCACGGCUAACUACGUG
RNAcentral lists this ribosomal RNA (497 nucleotides) under uncultured bacterium. RNAcentral's name for it is "partial 16S ribosomal RNA". It matches the Rfam family "Bacterial small subunit ribosomal RNA", at positions 28 to 507 of the family's 1533-position model. The record is from RNAcentral.